CCUACGGGCGGCAGCAGUGGGGAAUAUUGCACAAUGGGCGAAACCCUGAUGCAGCGACGCCGCGUGAGUGAAGAAUCGUUUCGGCGCGUAAAGCUCUGUCAGCGGGGAAGAAACACGGUUCGCGAGAGCCUCUGACGGUACCCUUCCAAGAAGCCCCGGCUAACUACGUGCCAGCAGCCGCGGUAAUACGUAGGGGGCAAGCGUUAUCCGGAUUCACUGGGUGUAAAGGGAGCGUAGACGGGGAGAUAAGUCUGGAGUGAAAGGCGGGGGACCAACCCCGGGACUGCUAUGGAAACUGGCUGGCUGGAGUACAGGAGAGGUAAGUGGAAUUCCUAGUGUAGCGGUGAAAUGCGUAGAUAUUAGGAGGAACACCAGUGGCGAAGGCGGCUUACUGAACUGUAACUGACGUUGAGGCUCGAAAGCGUGGGGAGCAAACAGGAUUAGAUACCCGAGUAGUC
Molecule: ribosomal RNA, 458 nt
Filed under: uncultured bacterium
Lineage: Bacteria
Description: partial 16S ribosomal RNA
Rfam family: Bacterial small subunit ribosomal RNA
Source: RNAcentral